RNAcentral lists this ribosomal RNA (253 nucleotides) under uncultured bacterium. Its description in RNAcentral is "partial 16S ribosomal RNA". It matches the Rfam family "Bacterial small subunit ribosomal RNA", at positions 524 to 776 of the family's 1533-position model. The record is from RNAcentral.
AACGUAGGUUCCGAGCGUUAUCCGGAUUUACUGGGCGUAAAGCGCGUUCAGGCGGUUUGGCAAGUCGGGCAUGAAAUCUCUCGGCUCAACCGGGAGAGGUUGUCCGAUACUUCCAGACUUGAGGGCAGUAGAGGGUGGUGGAAUUCCGGGUGUAGUGGUGAAAUGCGUAGAUAUCGGGAGGAACACCAGUGGCGAAGGCGACUACCUGGCCUGUUCUUGACGCUGAGGCGCGAAAGCUAGGGGAGCAAACGGG